Molecule: ribosomal RNA, 518 nt
Filed under: Escherichia coli
Lineage: Bacteria; Pseudomonadati; Pseudomonadota; Gammaproteobacteria; Enterobacterales; Enterobacteriaceae
Also listed under: 1 other name
Description: bacterial SSU rRNA
Rfam family: Bacterial small subunit ribosomal RNA
Source: RNAcentral
GUGCCUUCGGGAACCGUGAGACAGGUGCUGCAUGGCUGUCGUCAGCUCGUGUUGUGAAAUGUUGGGUUAAGUCCCGCAACGAGCGCAACCCUUAUCCUUUGUUGCCAGCGGUCCGGCCGGGAACUCAAAGGAGACUGCCAGUGAUAAACUGGAGGAAGGUGGGGAUGACGUCAAGUCAUCAUGGCCCUUACGACCAGGGCUACACACGUGCUACAAUGGCGCAUACAAAGAGAAGCGACCUCGCGAGAGCAAGCGGACCUCAUAAAGUGCGUCGUAGUCCGGAUUGGAGUCUGCAACUCGACUCCAUGAAGUCGGAAUCGCUAGUAAUCGUGGAUCAGAAUGCCACGGUGAAUACGUUCCCGGGCCUUGUACACACCGCCCGUCACACCAUGGGAGUGGGUUGCAAAAGAAGUAGGUAGCUUAACCUUCGGGAGGGCGCUUACCACUUUGUGAUUCAUGACUGGGGUGAAGUCGUAACAAGGUAACCGUAGGGGAACCUGCGGUUGGAUCACCUCCUU